UUCCCUUCCCCUGAACAUGCCCCUGAAAAAAGGAACGACGAUCACUCAAUCUCUGUAAACAAUACAGUGAGUGAAUGUUUGUUCCGUUUUCAUGCGUACCCUAAAUUGACAGUAUUGAAUAUCAAGCAGUUUGAGUGUGGGUAAAACAUCAACACCCCUGUAGCUUUAAUGCCUACUCACAGAUGGAGCGCAGGUGAAAUGUAGAAUAGGGUGUGCCGUCAGAAUACAUAUAUGUGUAAGUUUCGAAGAAACGGCUUUUCAUAUAAAAGACGGGGGACGAUGAGGAACCUUCCUUUUCCAACUGUGAUUGUCGAACGGAGUCGAAGUGCGCGCGUGUGUAAUUUCCGUUUCGAGCUAGGUCCAGUGGAAAAGUCUGAUCGUUAAAAGAUUAAGUGUUAGUAACGAUUAAAAAAAAAGAUUACAAAGAAAAGGUGAAAAGACGAAUUUACUACAAACAAAAGAAUCGUCCACAACGCACAUGUUAAAACAAUAAGAAAAAGGUCCGUUCAAGGGGCCUUUUUCUUCCGUUCUAUUUUCAAGUUCGUCCUCGGGUGUUCAUGGUGGUGCAAACUCGUGCCGAAUAACUACAACCCUCGGUGGCAGUGUAACAGUCGACGUAAACACGAUAGGCAAACCGCGAGCAAGAUCGGAACGUUCCCGGCCAUUCCCGGCAUUCUUCGCCGAUGUCGCCAUUGUUACCGCGAACGAGAUCGGACAGAUCCCGGCCAUUCUCUUUCCAUCUACGCCUUUUUGCGACCGUUCAGCAUCCGCCAUUGCAAUCCGCUCCGCGGAUAGAGAAAUCCGCCAUGAUACCAUCAAACACCGGAGGUGGUCUAAGAAAGCCCAGGACCAUUGAGAACAACCCUCCAUCCGACCUAUCAUCGGGAUUCCAACCAAUGUUACGCAACUACCACGAUUCGUACCACAAGGACCAGUGGUUACCCAGCAUCGAACCCCAGCCUACCAUCGAAAGCUUUCGCACCGAUCAUCGAGACUCCAGAUCCGGAUCCGGCAGCAACUAGCGAACAGCAAGUAUACCCUUUGUGACGUCGUAAAUAAAUAUUGUUGAUUAGUAUGUAGUAAA
This is a long non-coding RNA of Armigeres subalbatus, 1084 nucleotides long. RefSeq lists it as uncharacterized. The transcript is spliced from 4 exons. NCBI's taxonomy places the organism in Eukaryota, Metazoa, Arthropoda, Insecta, Diptera, Culicidae. The record is from RefSeq and is a predicted model, not a curated record.